CCAUCGUUAUCUUCUGUGGAGUUCUUCAUUCCCACAUCUGUGGACCUUAAAAUCCUACGGUUGAGUGCCUGCCUUGGAUCAGCAGUCGGUUCGUUACCUUGGUUCUCAGACGAUGCUUGCAACAACGCCAUGCGAUUCGCCCACUCUUGGAGAAAAUAAGAGAAGUAUCCCUGAAGGAUGAAAUAUCCUCAAAUAUGAAAAGGUCUGCUCUCUGAAGACCAACUGUCUCAGUCUGCUUUUUGCUGCUGUAACAGAAUACCACAGACUUGUAGGCAGAGAAGCCUUCAGAGAAGGAUCCUGACUCGGUGGUUUGUGCAGUGACAUUUGGCAGUGUUUGCUCGGCAAGAGAGCCUUUGAGGCUGCCCUCAUGCUGCUCAGUGGGCACACCAAGAACAAGAGCUGGCCAGGGAUGACGGACGCAUCUAGGCCUUCUCGGCCUAAGGGCAAGUCCCAUUCUUCCUUGAUAGGUCUUUAGAUGUACCAGUCAGCAAAUGUCAUCCCCCUCUGCAUUCACGUCAUGCUGUGCAGGGAAUGCUAAACAGAGGUAGAUCUAAACUUAGGAGUUAGGCUUCUUCUCCAUGGAGAUGUGGAUCUGCACAGACAAAGUGUCCAAGUGGGAUUUUC
Molecule: long non-coding RNA, 624 nt
Filed under: Homo sapiens (human)
Lineage: Eukaryota; Metazoa; Chordata; Mammalia; Primates; Hominidae
Description: HSALNT0344560
Source: RNAcentral